CAGCCGCCACGGUAAUACGGAGGGUGCAAGCGUUAAUCGGAAUUACUGGGCGUAAAGCGCACGCAGGCGGUCUGACAAGUCAGAUGUGAAAUCCCCGGGCUUAACCUGGGAACUGCAUUUGAAACUGUCAGGCUGGAGUCUUGUAGAGGGGGGUAGAAUUCCAGGUGUAGCGGUGAAAUGCGUAGAGAUCUGGAGGAAUACCGGUGGCGAAGGCGGCCCCCUGGACAAAGACUGACGCUCAGGUGCGAAAGCGUGGGGAGCAAACAGGAUUAGAUACCCCAGUAGUCCCUGUCUCUUAUAA
Molecule: ribosomal RNA, 301 nt
Filed under: uncultured bacterium
Lineage: Bacteria
Description: partial 16S ribosomal RNA
Rfam family: Bacterial small subunit ribosomal RNA
Source: RNAcentral